Molecule: ribosomal RNA, 460 nt
Filed under: uncultured bacterium
Lineage: Bacteria
Description: partial 16S ribosomal RNA
Rfam family: Bacterial small subunit ribosomal RNA
Source: RNAcentral
CCUACGGGAGGCAGCAGUGAGGAAUAUUGGUCAAUGGACGAGAGUCUGAACCAGCCAAGUAGCGUGAAGGAUGACUGCCCUAUGGGUUGUACACUUCUUUUCUAAAGGAAUAAAACGCGGCACGUGUGCCUUUUUGCAUGUACUUUAUGAAUAAGGAUCGGCUAACUCCGUGCCAGCAGCCGCGGUAAUACGGCGGAUCCGAGCGUUAUCCGGAUUUAUUGGGUUUAAAGGGAGCGUAGAUGGGUUGUUAAGUCAGUUGUGAAAGUUUGCGGCUCAACCGUAAAAUUGCAAUUGAUACUGGCAGUCUUGAGUACAGUUGAGGUAGGCGGAAUUCGUGGUGUAGCGGUGAAAUGCUUAGAUAUCACGAAGAACCCCGAUUGCGAAGGCAGCUUACUAAACUGUGACUGACAUUGAUGCUCGAAAGUGUGGGUAUCAAACAGGAUUAGAUACCCUAGUAGUC